This 21-nucleotide non-coding RNA is filed under the name Arabidopsis thaliana (thale cress). Lineage: Eukaryota; Viridiplantae; Streptophyta; Magnoliopsida; Brassicales; Brassicaceae. The record is from RNAcentral.
UCAAUGUCCGCCAUCAUCCUC